Molecule: small RNA, 116 nt
Filed under: Marmota monax (woodchuck)
Lineage: Eukaryota; Metazoa; Chordata; Mammalia; Rodentia; Sciuridae
Source: RNAcentral
GCUGGGUACAGUAGCGCACACCUGUUGUCCCAGUACUUGGGAGGCUGAAGGAGGAGGAUCACUUGAACCCAGAAGUUCAGGGCCAGCCUGGGCAACAAAGUCGGACUCAAUCUCUU